This 422-nucleotide ribosomal RNA is filed under the name uncultured bacterium. RNAcentral's name for it is "partial 16S ribosomal RNA". It matches the Rfam family "Bacterial small subunit ribosomal RNA", at positions 360 to 774 of the family's 1533-position model. The record is from RNAcentral.
AAUUUUGGACAAUGGGGGCAACCCUGAUCUAGCCAUCCCGCGUGUGCGAUGAAGGCCUUCGGGUUGUAAAGCACUUUAAGUUGGGAGGAAGGGUUGUUGGCUAAUAGCCAGCAAUUUUGACGUUACCGACAGAAUAAGUACCGGCUAACUCCGUCCCAGCAGCCGCGGUAAUACAGGGGUUGCAAGCGUUAACCGGAAUUACUGGGCGUAAAGCGCGCGUAGGUGGUUCAGUAAGAUGGGUGUGAAAUCCCCGGGCUUAACCUGGGAACUGCUUUCAUAACUGCUGAGCUAGAGUACGGUAGAGGGUAGUGGAAUUUCCUGUGUAGCGGUGAAAUGCGUAGAUAUAGGAAGGAACACCAGUGGCGAAGGCGACUACCUGGACUGAUACUGACACUGAGGUGCGAAAGCGUGGGGAGCAAACA